Alosa sapidissima (American shad) is the source of this 2699-nucleotide long non-coding RNA. RefSeq lists it as uncharacterized. Lineage: Eukaryota; Metazoa; Chordata; Actinopteri; Clupeiformes; Clupeidae. The transcript has 2 exons. The record is from RefSeq and is a predicted model, not a curated record.
UUCAUUUUUAACUAUUGUAUUGUUUUUAUUUCUAAGUCACUUUGGACAAAACUGUCUGCUAAAUCAUAUAAUGCAUCAUGCAUUCAAAAGAGUCAAGAGAGACAAUGAUUCCAAAACUUCCACUAAAUGAUGCAUUUAACUAGUAACAAUGGUCUUGCAUCAAACCAUUCCAUUUAGGAUCACAAAGGUGGCUAGGCAACACCAUGAUGCCAUAGAACAUAGCACAGGGUAAACUGGAAUUUUUGUUCACUCUUUCUUGAGCUUGUGUAAAAGUUGGCUAGUUUCAGAUUUUUUGAUCAUUUGAUGUUCAAACUGUGAUUUCUGGCGAUCUGAUUUUAAUGUGGUUCUGCUGGUUCUUAGCCUGCUGCCUCGCAGCACGGCAGAAUGAAGAUAAAACGAUUAAGGGAUGUGUCAAAAAAUACGGACUGGAGGAACUAAAAAGAGAACUGGAGGCUUUGGGAGUUAACAUUGAUGAGGACGUGGAUGAAACUAAAAAGAAAAAGAAGACCAAAAAGGAACUACAAAAGCUCCUAAUAAAGGAACUGAAGCAGGUUGGCAAUGUCAAAAACUGGACAGGACAACAGGGCUUACGAAGACGGAUUCAUGCCCAUGGGGAUCCCUGAAGAUGUCCUAUCUGUUCUGAAUGAUCUGGACACGUUCUUGGACAAACAGUUAGAAGAACAGGAGAGAAAUGAACAGAGGGACAACGAUGUGAAAGCCGUGCUUGGCGGUCUCCUGGAUAAAGUGGACUCGAAUUUGGGCCAGAGGCUGGAGACAGGAAGGAGGAGGCCGAGCGGGCAGCCCAAUUCUGGAGUGCCACGGAGAACCACGAAGACUCCAUCCCCAGGAGGAGGCUUCGGGUGGCAAGACGCAGCAGCAGACGGCUGACCUUGUGAACGAUUGACAAGAACCGUCAAUAAAACCAAUACCAGAAGUCAGACUUCUGGGGGGUAUUCCAAGUACGUGGUUUAGUGAUAAACCUGGGUAAGUUAACUCCGAGUAAGUGGUAAACCUCCUACAACAAGAGCCCUAUGGUAUUGUUUUGUUAGGAGAAUGAAGCCAUACAGCUCUUCUAUUAGGAGGUUUACCACCUACUCUGAGUUAACUAACCCAGGUUUGUCUCCCUCUACACCCCCUACUGGCCUGAAAGUGUAAUUGCAAGAGCGGUUGCACUAGAGGGGCUUCCAAAAGCUGGCACAGACCCCAUUACAAGUUGGAAUCUAUCCCAACACCCAUUACUGGGCAUGUAUUCUAGCAACAAAUACUAAUGAAGUUAGUAAAAAAAAAUACAAAUAGACAAUGUAUUGUACCUUGACAUUGUCUGUGAGCCUCCCAAUAGAUGGUACUGGCUUUCAAGAGAGAGACCCUUCUCAUUCUCAUGAUUCCAAGUCAGUACUCUCAAAGACAGAUCACGAGAGGCAGUCACCACACGGAAAUUGUCCUGCAGUAUAAAUAAAUAUUAAUGUAUGCAUACAUAAAUCCAAAAAAAAGACAUGUACAAGUUACAACUAUCUCACUUGUAAUGUGGUAUACAAGGAGUGAAGCCCAUUGGUGGUCAGCCACAGUACUCAGAUGUGGUCAGCUUAUUACAGUUGAUUGUUUCUUUUUUUCUCAACUUGAUGGGACCAAAAGUUACAGAAAAUUUAGCAUUUGGACUGAGGGCAGAUAUUUCCUUGGCCGAAAGGCUGCGUCAUUCACUCUAGUCAUUAGUCAAUCAGCAGCAGUCUCACCACACAAAUGGACAUGAUGGGCUGUGUGUGGUCCUCCAUCCUUUGCAUGAGAGCUCCUUUCACAGAGUAGACACUUAUCUGGUUUCCUGCAGCCACCACCAGUGUGUUGCUGUCUCUGGCCUGGAGCAGGAUGUUUGUGUACGACAGGUCCAGCUCAAAGGACUCGGUCUGCUGAACUGUACACAUAAUGCACUUAUUACAGUGACACUCGGGAGGGCUCUGAAAUAUUCAUAUUUAUUUAUUUUCAAUUAUUCAUCAAUUUAUAUGUGCUAAUUACGUAUUCAUUUAGCAGAUGGUGAAGCACUUUACAGUGUCCAAAGCAAUUUUGAGUGAUAUAUAUACUCUGCCUCUAUAUAUAUAUACUUAUUUGUGGCAUAUAUGUGUAACCCAUAUGUAACGUGGUAUUGUUUCCAACUUCCUCUUCCAGUUGAGUUACAGGAACCCUUUUUUUUAGUGAUUAUUCAAUUUAGUUACUUUACAAUUGGGUACGGGUAAGUACUGAUUUUGGCUUUCUUUGUUGCUUUGUUUGUAUAAUCAUUAGGGUGAUAAAAAGAUACUGUAAAUGUCCCGAAAUGCAAGUGUAUUUAGGUAUUACAGUAAUUUAUUUUGUUCUUGGUCUACUUUACCUGUGUCCAGCUCCUGUAUGUUACCUACCAACAAUCCCACUAAUGAGCAUUUACCUGAGGGUUCUUCAUCAUAUUUUGUCUUUGUCAUGCUGAUGUUGAAGACAGAGAGGUAUUUUUUCUGUGAGAGAUCACUGUGGUGGAUCACCGCCACCCUGGCUGAGUGUGAUGGCAGGAAGGCUGCAGAAUAGACACCACAGACGGACCUUGGCAGACUAACACUGACUGGACCCUCACCCUCAGGGCCACUGGACAAACUUGGACUGAAGAAUAUCUAAGUAGCAACGAUAAAAUAGUAAUAAAUUAAAAAAAGUAAGUAGUAAAAAAAUAAAGAUGCAAGCAUUGA